GUGGGGAAUAUUGCGCAAUGGACGAAAGUCUGACGCAGCGACGCCGCGUGUGGGAUGACGCCUUUCGGGGUGUAAACCACUGUUGCCCGGGACGAAACUCCCCUUUCGAGGGGAUUGACGGUACCGGGUGAGGAAGCACCGGCUAACUCUGUGCCAGCAGCCGCGGUAAUACAGAGGGUGCGAGCGUUGUCCGGAAUCACUGGGCGUAAAGGGCGCGUAGGUGGCGAGAUAAGCGUGUGGUGAAAGCCCGGGGCUCAACCCCGUGUCUGCCAUGCGGACUGUCUUGCUCGAGCGUAGUAGAGGCAGGUGGAAUUCCGGGUGUAGCGGUGGAAUGCGUAGAGAUCCGGAAGAACACCGGUGGCGAAGGCGGCCUGCUGGGCUACUGCUGACACUGAGGCGCGACAGCGUGGGGAGCAAACAGGAUUAGAAACCCCGGUAGUCC
Molecule: ribosomal RNA, 442 nt
Filed under: uncultured bacterium
Lineage: Bacteria
Description: bacterial SSU rRNA
Rfam family: Bacterial small subunit ribosomal RNA
Source: RNAcentral